Molecule: ribosomal RNA, 253 nt
Filed under: uncultured bacterium
Lineage: Bacteria
Description: partial 16S ribosomal RNA
Rfam family: Bacterial small subunit ribosomal RNA
Source: RNAcentral
UACGGAGGGUGCAAGCGUUAAUCGGAAUUACUGGGCGUAAAGCGCGCGUAGGCGGUUUUUUAAGCUAGAUGUGAAAGCCCCGGGCUUAACCUGGGAAUUGCAUUUAGAACUGGGAGACUAGAGUACAGUAGAGGGGUGUGGAAUUUCCGGUGUAGCGGUGAAAUGCGUAGAGAUCGGAAGGAACAUCAGUGGCGAAGGCGACACCCUGGACUGAUACUGACGCUGAGGUGCGAAAGCGUGGGUAGCAAACAGG